This 253-nucleotide ribosomal RNA is filed under the name uncultured bacterium. RNAcentral describes it as "partial 16S ribosomal RNA". It matches the Rfam family "Bacterial small subunit ribosomal RNA", at positions 524 to 776 of the family's 1533-position model. The record is from RNAcentral.
UACGUAGGGUGCGAGCGUUGUCCGGAAUUAUUGGGCGUAAAGAGCUCGUAGGCGGUGUGUCGCGUCGGCCGUGAAAACCUGCAGCUCAACUGCAGGCUUGCGGUCGAUACGGGCAGGCUAGAGUUCGGUAGGGGAGACUGGAAUUCCUGGUGUAGCGGUGAAAUGCGCAGAUAUCAGGAGGAACACCGGUGGCGAAGGCGGGUCUCUGGGCCGAUACUGACGCUGAGGAGCGAAAGCGUGGGGAGCGAACAGG